GAUGAACGCUGGCGGCGUGCCUAAUACAUGCAAGUCGAGCGAACAGACGAGGAGCUUGCUCCUCUGACGUUAGCGGCGGACGGGUGAGUAACACGUGGAUAACCUACCUAUAAGACUGGGAUAACUUCGGGAAACCGGAGCUAAUACCGGAUAAUAUAUUGAACCGCAUGGUUCAAUAGUGAAAGACGGUUUUGCUGUCACUUAUAGAUGGAUCCGCGCCGCAUUAGCUAGUUGGUAAGGUAACGGCUUACCAAGGCAACGAUGCGUAGCCGACCUGAUAGGGUGAUCGGCCGCACUGGAACUGAGACACGGUCCAGACUCCUACGGGAGGCAGCAGUAGGGAAUCUUCCGCAAUGGGCGAAAGCCUGACGGAGCAACGCCGCGUGAGUGAUGAAGGUCUUCGGAUCGUAAAACUCUGUUAUUAGGGAAGAACAAAUGUGUAAGUAACUAUGCACGUCUUGACGGUACCUAAUCAGAAAGCCACGGCUAACUACGUG
This 497-nucleotide ribosomal RNA is filed under the name uncultured bacterium. Its description in RNAcentral is "partial 16S ribosomal RNA". It matches the Rfam family "Bacterial small subunit ribosomal RNA", at positions 28 to 507 of the family's 1533-position model. The record is from RNAcentral.